RNAcentral lists this ribosomal RNA (489 nucleotides) under uncultured bacterium. RNAcentral describes it as "partial 16S ribosomal RNA". It matches the Rfam family "Bacterial small subunit ribosomal RNA", at positions 899 to 1397 of the family's 1533-position model. The record is from RNAcentral.
ACUCAAAUGAAUUGACGGGGGCCCGCACAAGCAGCGGAGCGUGUGGUUUAAUUCGAUGCAACGCGAAGAACCUCACCUAGGCUUGACAUGGCCGGAGUAGGAGCCCGAAAGGGGGACGACCCGUCAAAUCGGGAACGGUCACAGGUGCUGCAUGGCUGUCGUCAGCUCGUGCCGUGAGGUGUUGGGUUAAGUCCCGCAACGAGCGCAACCCUCGGCGUUAGUUACGAUGUCUAACGCGACUGCCGGUUUCAAACCGGAGGAAGGUGGGGAUGACGUCAAGUCAGCACGGCCCUUACGCCUAGGGCUACACACACGCUACAAUGGCCGGUACAAUGGGACGCCAAAGGGUGACCUGGAGCAAAUCCCAGCAAAGCCGGUCUCAGUUGGGAUUGCAGGCUGCAACUCGCCUGCAUGAACGAGGAGUUGCUAGUAACCGCAGGUCAGCACACUGCGGUGAAUACGUUCCCGGGCCUUGUACACACCGCCCGU